UACAGAGGGUGCGAGCGUUAAUCGGAAUUACUGGGCGUAAAGCGCGCGUAGGCGGCUUUGCAAGUCGGGUGUGAAAUCCCCAGGCUCAACCUGGGAACUGCAUUCGAGACUGCAUUGCUAGAGUACGGAAGAGGCGAGUGGAAUUCCUGGUGUAGCGGUGGAAUGCGCAGAUAUCAGGAGGAACACCAAUAGCGAAGGCAGCUCGCUGGGACGUUACUGACACUGAGGCGCGAAAGCGUGGGGAGCGAACAGG
RNAcentral lists this ribosomal RNA (253 nucleotides) under uncultured bacterium. RNAcentral describes it as "partial 16S ribosomal RNA". It matches the Rfam family "Bacterial small subunit ribosomal RNA", at positions 524 to 776 of the family's 1533-position model. The record is from RNAcentral.